Molecule: ribosomal RNA, 497 nt
Filed under: uncultured bacterium
Lineage: Bacteria
Description: bacterial SSU rRNA
Rfam family: Bacterial small subunit ribosomal RNA
Source: RNAcentral
GAUGAACGCUAGCGGCAGGCUUAAUACAUGCAAGUUGAGGGGCAGCAUGAUAUACGCGAGUAUAUUGAUGGCGACCGGCGGACGGGUGAGUAAUAGGUAGGAGACCUACCUCAUACAGGGGGAUAGCAUAGAGAAAUCUGUGGUAAUACCCCAUGAGGUUAUAUGAAUAGAGGCAUAUAAUCAAAGCAUAAGCGAUUAUGCGGUAUGAGAGGGGCCUACUGACCAUUAGCUAGUUGGUGAGGUAAGGGCUCACCAAGGCGAAGAUGGUUAGGGGUUUUGAGAGAGAGACCCCCCACAUUGGAACUGAGAGACGGUCCAGACUCCUACGGGAGGCAGCAGUAGGGAAUAUUGGGCAAUGGGCGAAAGCCUGACCCAGCCAUGCCGCGUGAAGGAAGACGGCCUUAUGGGUUGUAAACUUCUUUACUACGCGAAUAGAGGUUAGUACGAGAUACUAAUAGGAAGGUAGUGUAGUAAAAACGCACCGGCUAAACUCCGUG